Molecule: ribosomal RNA, 336 nt
Filed under: uncultured bacterium
Lineage: Bacteria
Description: bacterial SSU rRNA
Rfam family: Bacterial small subunit ribosomal RNA
Source: RNAcentral
CAUGGCUCAGGACGAACGCUGGCGGCGUGCCUAAUACAUGCAAGUAGAACGCUGAAGGAAGGAGCUUGCUCUUUCCGGAUGAGUUGCGAACGGGUGAGUAACGCGUAGGUAACCUGCCUGGUAGCGGGGGAUAACUAUUGGAAACGAUAGCUAAUACCGCAUAACAGUAGAUAUUGCAUGAUAUCUACUUGAAAGGUGCAAUUGCAUCACUACCAGAUGGACCUGCGUUGUAUUAGCUAGUUGGUGAGGUAACGGCUCACCAAGGCAACGAUACAUAGCCGACCUGAGAGGGUGAUCGCCCACAUGGGGACGGAGACACGCCCCAGACCCCCACGG